UACGUAGGGUGCAAGCGUUAAUCGGAAUUACUGGGCGUAAAGCGUGCGCAGGCGGUUUUGUAAGUCUGUCGUGAAAGCCCCGGGCUCUACCUGGGAAUUGCGAUGGAGACUGCAAGGCUUGAAUCUGGCAGAGGGGGGUAGAAUUCCACGUGUAGCAGUGAAAUGCGUAGAGAUGUGGAGGAACACCGAUGGCGAAGGCAGCCCCCUGGGUCAAGAUUGACGCUCAUGCACGAAAGCGUGGGGAGCAAACAGG
Molecule: ribosomal RNA, 253 nt
Filed under: uncultured bacterium
Lineage: Bacteria
Description: partial 16S ribosomal RNA
Rfam family: Bacterial small subunit ribosomal RNA
Source: RNAcentral